Molecule: ribosomal RNA, 119 nt
Filed under: Salmo salar (Atlantic salmon)
Lineage: Eukaryota; Metazoa; Chordata; Actinopteri; Salmoniformes; Salmonidae
Source: RNAcentral
GCUUACGGCCAUAUCAGCCUGGGUACGCCCGAUCUCGUCUGAUCUCGGAAUCUAAGCAGGGUCGGGCCUGGUUAGUACUUGGAUGGGAGACCGCCUGGGAAUACCAGGUGCUGUAAGCA